This 402-nucleotide ribosomal RNA is filed under the name uncultured bacterium. Its description in RNAcentral is "bacterial SSU rRNA". It matches the Rfam family "Bacterial small subunit ribosomal RNA", at positions 355 to 774 of the family's 1533-position model. The record is from RNAcentral.
UAGGGAAUAUUGGACCAUGGGGGAAACCCUGAUCCAGCCAUGCCGCGUGAGUGAUGAAGGCCUUAGGGUUGUAAAGCUCUUUCGGCGGGGAAGAUAAUGACGGUACCCGCAGAAGAAGCCCCGGCUAACUUCGUGCCAGCAGCCGCGGUAAUACGAAGGGGGCUAGCGUUGCUCGGAAUCACUGGGCGUAAAGCGCACGUAGGCGGCCUUCUAAGUCAGGGGUGAAAUCCUGGAGCUCAACUCCAGAACUGCCUUUGAUACUGGAAAGCUUGAGUUCGGGAGAGGUGAGUGGAACUGCGAGUGUAGAGGUGAAAUUCGUAGAUAUUCGCAAGAACACCAGUGGCGAAGGCGGCUCACUGGCCCGAUACUGACGCUGAGGUGCGAAAGCGUGGGGAGCAAACA